ACAAAUUGUUGACAACUGAGGCAUAUGAUGAUAUAAUUAAAGCAGAAUUACCAAAUAGUAAUCGUGAACCAAAUUUGCGCAAACUUGUUCUUAAGCAUAUAAUGCACGGCCCUUGUGGUAGUUUAAACCCGACAAAUUGUUGUAUGAAAAAAGGUUGCUGCAAAUACAAAUACCCACAAAAGUUUGCCGAUCAAACAUCAGAAGGAAAUGAUUUGUAUCCUAUAUAUAGAUGAAGUAAAAGAAUAUCGGACUGCCAGAUGGGUAUCACCUCCGGAAGCCUUAUGGCGUCUCUUUGGUUUUCCUAUUAGUGAAAUGUAUCCAAGCGUUUAUUGUCUUUAGCUACAUCUUGAAGGCCAACAAUUUGUUUCCUUAAGAGCAAUGUUGGUAUAAAUACGAUCGUGAACAAUCCGAUGAUCAAAAAAUCGAUGUUAAUAGAAUUCUUCUAUAUGAACCAAACUGAUGAAGAUGCUAUAGAGCUGAAUUUACCGUACAAGGAAUUCCCUGAAUACUUUGUGUGGUCACAUUAAUGGAUCAUCGACAAUCAGAAAAGAAAUCUCGCUCAGUAAACGAAGCUCAUGAUGAAAAUACCAAACACCGUAAAAUAGAUAACUCUUUAGCAAUGACUCCAAAAGAAGAAAAGUUGUUGCAACCUCAAAUAUCGACAGGAAACAACCAAUCGUCUUCUCGCAAAUGCAAAUCAUGUGAAUCUUGAUGGAACGAUAUCUCACAUACAGCACGAUCUUAAUAUUGGAGUAGCUUUUCCAACUUCAGAAACAGAUACUGAAAUUGAGGAAAAAACUCCCACCCUCGAUGAUGUCGAUAUAUCAUGUAACUCAUCUGUUUAUGAUGCUCUGCGAUCUGACAUCCGUAGAUAUUCUACAUUCAGCACUAAGGAAAGCACAGAGGGUCUCGCCUACAAAGGGUAAUCUUUUGCUUUGUGUCUAUAUAGUAUAUACUUCCCCACUUCGUUAUAGUUUCAAUUUUUGUGUUGGAUUCAA
Long non-coding RNA from Nicotiana attenuata, 998 nucleotides. RefSeq lists it as uncharacterized. The record is from RefSeq and is a predicted model, not a curated record. NCBI's taxonomy places the organism in Eukaryota, Viridiplantae, Streptophyta, Magnoliopsida, Solanales, Solanaceae. The transcript has 3 exons.